UAGAGUUUGAUCAUGGCUCAGGAUGAACGCUAGCGGGAGGCCUAACACAUGCAAGCCGAGCGGUAUUGUUUCUUCGGAAAUGAGAGAGCGGCGUACGGGUGCGGAACACGUGUGCAACCUGCCUUUAUCUGGGGGAUAGCCUUUCGAAAGGAAGAUUAAUACUCCAUAACAUAUUGGACGGCAUCGUUUAAUAUUGAAAGCUCCGGCGGAUAGAGAUGGGCACGCGCAAGAUUAGCUAGUUGGUGAGGUAACGGCUCACCAAGGCGAUGAUCUUUAGGGGGCCUGAGAGGGUGAUCCCCCACACUGGUACUGAGACACGGACCAGACUCCUACGGGAGGCAGCAGUGAGGAAUAUUGGUCAAUGGGUGCAAGCCUGAACCAGCCAUCCCGCGUGAAGGACGACUGCCCUAUGGGUUGUAAACUUCUUUUGUAUAGGGAUAAACCUACCCUCGAGAGGGUAGCUGAAGGUACUAUACGAAUAAGCACCGGCUAACUCCGUGCCAGCAGCCGCGGUAAUACGGAGGGUGCAAGCGUUAUCCGGAUUUAUUGGGUUUAAGGGUCCGUAGGCGGACUUAUAAGUCAGUGGUGAAAUCCUGUCGCUUAACGAUAGAACUGCCAUUGAUACUGUAAGUCUUGAGUAUUUUGAGGUAGCUGGAAU
Molecule: ribosomal RNA, 658 nt
Filed under: uncultured bacterium
Lineage: Bacteria
Description: bacterial SSU rRNA
Rfam family: Bacterial small subunit ribosomal RNA
Source: RNAcentral